This 868-nucleotide ribosomal RNA is filed under the name Auricularia thailandica. Its description in RNAcentral is "eukaryotic LSU rRNA". It matches the Rfam family "Eukaryotic large subunit ribosomal RNA", at positions 76 to 933 of the family's 3401-position model. The record is from RNAcentral. Lineage: Eukaryota; Fungi; Basidiomycota; Agaricomycetes; Auriculariales; Auriculariaceae.
UCCCCUAGUAACGGCGAGUGAAGCGGGAAGAGCUCAAAUUUGAAAUCUGGCGGUCUCAGGCCGUCCGAGUUGUAAUCUAGAGAGGUGUUUUCCGUGCCGGACCGUGUACAAGUCCCUUGGAACAGGGCGUCAUAGAGGGUGAGAAUCCCGUCCAUGACACGGACUACCGGUGCUCUGUGAUACACCUUCAAAGAGUCGAGUUGUUUGGGAAUGCAGCUCAAAAUGGGUGGUAAAUUCCAUCUAAAGCUAAAUACAGGCGAGAGACCGAUAGCGAACAAGUACCGUGAGGGAAAGAUGAAAAGAACUUUGGAAAGAGAGUUAAACAGUACGUGAAAUUGUUGAAAGGGAAACGCUUGAAGUCAGUCGCGUCUGCCAGGACUCAGCCUUGCUUCUGCUUGGUGCACUUCUUGGUGGAUGGGCCAGCAUCGAUUUUGGCCGCCGGAAAAGGGCGGGAGGAAUGUGGCAGCUUUUGCUGUGUUAUAGCCUUCCGUCGUACACGGUGGUCGGGAUCGAGGACUGCAGCACGCCUUUGGUCGGGGUUCGCCCACGCCACGUGCUUAGGAUGCUGGCGUAAUGGCUUUAAACGACCCGUCUUGAAACACGGACCAAGGAGUCUAACAUGCCUGCGAGUGUUUGGGUGCAAAACCCAGGCGCGUAAUGAAAGUGAAAAGUUGGGACUCUUCAGUGAGGCACCGACGCCCGACCCUGAAGUCUUCUGACGGGUUUGAGGCAGAGCAUGUAUGUUGGGACCCGAAAGAUGGUGAACUAUGCCUGAAUAGGGUGAAGCCAGAGGAAACUCUGGUGGAGGCUCGUAGCGAUUCUGACGUGCAAAUCGAUCGUCAAAUUUGGGUAUAGGGGCGAAAGACUA